AUGAAGUGCCUGGUGCUUUUCCUUGCCCUAGUGGCCGCCCCAGACGGUGCUUGCUCUCAGGUGCAGCUGAUCCCGUCCGGGCCCGGCGCGGUGAAACCCAGAGAGACCCUGACCUUGAGCUGCGCCAUCAGUGGUGACUCUGUCACCAGUAAUUGGUGGGACUGGAUCCGACAGGCUCCAGGGAAAGGGCUGGAGUGGGUAGGAGAGAUCGACUGGAGUGACUCUAAGUGGCGCAUAAACUAUGGCCCGGCUUUCCAGAGCCGCGCAACGCUCAGCGCGGAUACCUCCAAGAACCAGUUCUCUCUGCAGCUCUGCUCGCUGACAGCUACAGACACCACCACCUAUUACUGCGCCAGGGCCACA
Non-coding RNA from Pelodiscus sinensis (Chinese soft-shelled turtle), 363 nucleotides. The record is from the annotation of a RefSeq genome assembly. Lineage: Eukaryota; Metazoa; Chordata; Testudines; Trionychidae.